UACGUAGGGGGCAAGCGUUGUCCGGAUUUAUUGGGCGUAAAGAGCGUGUAGGCGGCCUGACAGGUCUGCUGUGAAAACUCGAGGCUCAACCUCGAGACGCCGAUGGAAACCAUGUGGCUAGAGUCCGGAAGAGGAGAGUGGAAUUCCUGGUGUAGCGGUGAAAUGCGCAGAUAUCAGGAAGAACACCUAUGGCGAAGGCAGCUCUCUGGGACGGUACUGACGCUGAGACGCGAAAGCGUGGGGAGCGAACAGG
Molecule: ribosomal RNA, 253 nt
Filed under: uncultured bacterium
Lineage: Bacteria
Description: partial 16S ribosomal RNA
Rfam family: Bacterial small subunit ribosomal RNA
Source: RNAcentral